RNAcentral lists this ribosomal RNA (579 nucleotides) under Enterobacter cloacae. Its description in RNAcentral is "partial 23S ribosomal RNA". It matches the Rfam family "Bacterial large subunit ribosomal RNA", at positions 611 to 1191 of the family's 2925-position model. RNAcentral also lists the same sequence under 1 other name. The record is from RNAcentral. Lineage: Bacteria; Pseudomonadati; Pseudomonadota; Gammaproteobacteria; Enterobacterales; Enterobacteriaceae.
UAUAAUGGGUCAGCGACUUAUAUUCUGUAGCAAGGUUAACCGUAUAGGGGAGCCGAAGGGAAACCGAGUCUUAACUGGGCGUUAAGUUGCAGGGUAUAGACCCGAAACCCGGUGAUCUAGCCAUGGGCAGGUUGAAGGUUGGGUAACACUAACUGGAGGACCGAACCGACUAAUGUUGAAAAAUUAGCGGAUGACCUGUGGCUGGGGGUGAAAGGCCAAUCAAACCGGGAGAUAGCUGGUUCUCCCCGAAAGCUAUUUAGGUAGCGCCUCGUGAACUCAUCUUCGGGGGUAGAGCACUGUUUCGGCUAGGGGGCCAUCCCGGCUUACCAACCCGAUGCAAACUACGAAUACCGAAGAAUGUUAUCACGGGAGACACACGGCGGGUGCUAACGUCCGUCGUGAAGAGGGAAACAACCCAGACCGCCAGCUAAGGUCCCAAAGUCAUGGUUAAGUGGGAAACGAUGUGGGAAGGCCCAGACAGCCAGGAUGUUGGCUUAGAAGCAGCCAUCAUUUAAAGAAAGCGUAAUAGCUCACUGGUCGAGUCGGCCUGCGCGGAAGAUGUAACGGGGCUAAACCAUG